Long non-coding RNA from Triticum aestivum (bread wheat), 1088 nucleotides. RefSeq lists it as uncharacterized. Lineage: Eukaryota; Viridiplantae; Streptophyta; Magnoliopsida; Poales; Poaceae. The record is from RefSeq and is a predicted model, not a curated record. The transcript is spliced from 3 exons.
CACUUGCCCCCUCGCGCUUCCCCUCGCCCUCUCCGCCUUCUCCUCUCCUCCAGAUCCGCGUCGGCAACCCGCGCGCGACGCGCCCGUCGUCGGCCACCUCGCACCGCCGUGGCAACCGUCGACCUCGUGCCACACCGACGUGCACAAGCACUCCACCUUCCUCGACUACGUCUCCGCGGACAAGCCGCAGGACGCAGGACGCCCCCGCGACGCCUUCCCCGCCACCGGCUUCCUCCUGGGCCCGGCGGACUCUGGCGAGCUCUCCCCCGAGCCCGCUUUGCUCACCUGCAGGUCACCGUGAGCUCCUCAAGGUAGGUGACGACCACGCCGCAGCGAGGUUCUCCAAAUCCCGGCGACCUAGGUCUUGACUCAGAAGAAUCUCACAAAGCACAGAGGCUGUCUAGAAAAGUUGCAUAAGAAAAAAAAAGGUACCUAUAAACAUUCUGGUUAUCGCCACCAUGCUAUUUGCUCAUUGACUACGAAAUAAUUAUAUAGUUUUGAAGUUUAUUUAGGUGUGAACUGUAACUCCUGAUUAUGGGCAAUUAUCAAUCAUGCUUAGUAUUGUUUCAUGGUUAAUUUAGCUGAUGAUAUAUACAACAUGGAAGUGUGAGGGGAUGUUACAUUACAUUAUCAUGUAGAUAUCAGAAACCAUUUUUGGUUCUUUCCUCCUGGGGGAGGGGAAGAGAAUACAUAGGAACAUGAUGGCUGUGGGCUUCUAUAUGCUGGCUUCUAUAUGAUGGCAGCUUCCAUGGUGUUAUAUAUGAUGUUAUAUGAUGGCAGCUUCUAUAUGAUGGCAGCUUCUGAUGUGAAAUGACCCCUUUCUCCUGAAAUGUUGAUUAAUUUCCGUUUCGGUUGAGAAUGGGGCACUCCUAGGUCAAGAAAAUUAGCAAAGGUCAUGCCCAAUUUUCUUGACCUAGAAGGUGCCCGAUUCUCAACCGAAACGGAAAUAUUCCUCUAAAUCUGAGAAGGAUAGAUACUACCUUGAUCUCAUCCAAUAACUCUAGUAGCAUUUUUUCCUAUUUAGAGCGAACAUGGCCGACAACGAUGAGGCCGGCGGUUCGGGCAAGCCAUUCUGGCAGCUGUCCCAG